This 442-nucleotide ribosomal RNA is filed under the name uncultured bacterium. RNAcentral's name for it is "partial 16S ribosomal RNA". It matches the Rfam family "Bacterial small subunit ribosomal RNA", at positions 338 to 795 of the family's 1533-position model. The record is from RNAcentral.
CCUACGGGAGGCAGCAGUAGGGAAUCUUUCACAAUGGGCGAAAGCCUGAUGGAGCAACGCCGCGUGCAGGAUGAAGGCCUUCGGGUUGUAAACUGCUUUUAUAAGCGAGAAAAAUGAGGGUAACUUAUGAUUAAGGAUGGGAAAACUACGUGCCAGCAGCCGCGGUCAUACGUAGGAUCGGAGCAUUACCCGGAGUGACUGGGUGUAAAGAGUUGCGUAGGUGGCAUAAUAAGUAGCUAGUGAAAUCUGGUGGCUCAACCAUUCAGACUAUUAGCUAAACUGUUAAGCUCGAGAGCGUUAGGGGUAACUGGAAUUUCUAGUGUAGGAGUGAAAUCCGUAGAUAUUAGAAAGAACACCAAUAGCGUAGGCAGGUUACUGGGACGGUUCUGACACUAAGGCACGAAAGCGUAGGGAGCAAACGGGAUUAGAUACCCGUGUAGUC